CAGACAGCACCACCGCUCAGAAAGCUGGGAUCACCGCGGACACAGCACAGCCCCCAGAGGAUGGUCCACAUGGAGCGGAACAGGAAGCUCUCCCCGAGACAGACGUUCAGCACACUGGGACAAAAGUCACACGGCCAAAAACAUCCAAGGGUAAGGACGAUAUUAAGACUCCCGAGGCGAGACGCAAGGUGAAAGACUCCGUUCGGAAGUCUGUCUUUGGGAGGAAGACUCACCAGAAGGAGGCAUUUGAAACACUCCUAGAGCAAGAGGCAAACAGAGAGGU
Rhincodon typus (whale shark) is the source of this 283-nucleotide long non-coding RNA. RefSeq lists it as uncharacterized. The record is from RefSeq and is a predicted model, not a curated record. Lineage: Eukaryota; Metazoa; Chordata; Chondrichthyes; Orectolobiformes; Rhincodontidae. The transcript has 3 exons.